This 425-nucleotide ribosomal RNA is filed under the name uncultured bacterium. RNAcentral's name for it is "partial 16S ribosomal RNA". It matches the Rfam family "Bacterial small subunit ribosomal RNA", at positions 354 to 796 of the family's 1533-position model. The record is from RNAcentral.
GUGGGGAAUAUUGGACAAUGGGCGCAAGCCUGAUCCAGCCAUGCCGCGUGAGUGAUGAAGGCCUUAGGGUUGUAAAGCUCUUUCAGUGGGGACGAUAAUGACGGUACCCACAGAAGAAGCCCCGGCUAACUUCGUGCCAGCAGCCGCGGUAAUACGAAGGGGGCUAGCGUUGUUCGGAAUUACUGGGCGUACAGCGCACGUAGGCGGGUAUUUAAGUCAGGGGUGAAAUCCCGGAGCUCAACUCCGGAACUGCCUUUGAUACUGGGUACCUAGAGUAUGGAAGAUGUAAGUGGAAUGCCGAGUGUAGAGGUGAAAUUCGUAGAUAUUCGGAGGAACACCAGUGGCGAAGGCGGCUUACUGGUCCAUUACUGACGCUGAGGUGCGAAAGCGUGGGGAGCAAACAGGAUUAGAAACCCGAGUAGUCC